Long non-coding RNA from Ahaetulla prasina, 689 nucleotides. RefSeq lists it as uncharacterized. NCBI's taxonomy places the organism in Eukaryota, Metazoa, Chordata, Lepidosauria, Squamata, Colubridae. The transcript is spliced from 4 exons. The record is from RefSeq and is a predicted model, not a curated record.
AAGAAGGAGGAGGAAGUGCCUUCUGCACCUGAUCCAAGAACAUGUAGGGCAGAGAAAAGGCAGAAGCAGACUACUCGAGAGGAAAAAGCCUCGCUCUUCUUGAUGGGCUGCACCAGAAGCUGCCUAUUUAGCACAGCAGACAGAGGGAGGCCUUGCUGGGAGCAAUGUAGUUUGUUUCAUAGCUGUGUUUUUUCUGGAUGUGAUGAUUCCUGCCUCGCUUUGGAUUGACACCGUGCCUUGACUUGAAGCGUGCCUUGGAAAGUGGACUUUUCUUGACUUAGAAACAACAGAAGAACCCAAGAAAACUGAAUCAGAUUCUUCUAAAAGAGAAGCAGGAAAUUGACUCUGGCCUGCACUAAGUAUAGAAAUGGAGGAGGAAUAUGCUUCUCUGAAUUAUAGUAUCACCUGGUGGAAAAUUCACAACCCGUUAUUGACUACAUCAUGUAGAGUUCGGGAAAGAAGAAAUGAAGUCACUGCGCCUUUAAGUUGCAAGACAGUAAGAAAGAAGCUAUAAGUGGCAAGAAAAGGCAGCAUUAAGAUCUCCUGCAGGAACAUGCUGUUGCAAAGCAAUGGGAAGAGAUACCCUGGAGGAAACAUUUUCCAUGGCCUAAAUUGAGAAAAUUACAUAUGUUGUGGUUUUAAUUUUUUCCCAAGAUGUAAAUCCCUAAAGAAAUAAAGAAAUAAAUAGU